GGUGAUGAUGAACCCAGGUGAUUCAGAGUGUCUCGCUGACGCCAUCACCGCAGCGCGCUGACA
RNAcentral lists this small nucleolar RNA (63 nucleotides) under Suricata suricatta (meerkat). RNAcentral's name for it is "Small nucleolar RNA SNORD48 (ENSSSUG00005005209.1)". It matches the Rfam family "Small nucleolar RNA SNORD48". Rfam says of the family: U48 belongs to the C/D class of snoRNA which contain the C (UGAUGA) and D (CUGA) box motifs. Most of the members of the box C/D family function in directing site-specific 2'-O-methylation of substrate RNAs. The record is from Rfam by way of RNAcentral. Lineage: Eukaryota; Metazoa; Chordata; Mammalia; Carnivora; Herpestidae.